UGGGGAAUCUUGCGCAAUGGACGAAAGUCUGACGCAGCUAUUCCGCGUGAAGGAUGAAGCAUUACGGUGUGUAAACUUCUUUUCUGGGGAAUGACGACUGACAGUACCCCAGGAAUAAGGGACGGCUAACUACGUGCCAGCAGCCGCGGUAAUACGUAGGUCCCAAGCGUUAUCCGGAUUUACUGGGCGUAAAGAGUCCGUAGCCGGUUUGAUAAGUCCGCUUUCAAAUACCGAAACUCAACUUCGGAAA
This 250-nucleotide ribosomal RNA is filed under the name uncultured bacterium. Its description in RNAcentral is "partial 16S ribosomal RNA". It matches the Rfam family "Bacterial small subunit ribosomal RNA", at positions 355 to 621 of the family's 1533-position model. The record is from RNAcentral.